This 387-nucleotide long non-coding RNA is filed under the name Oryza sativa tropical japonica subgroup. RNAcentral's name for it is "lncRNA OsAzu_01g0017850". The record is from RNAcentral. Lineage: Eukaryota; Viridiplantae; Streptophyta; Magnoliopsida; Poales; Poaceae.
ACCAAAAAGCCGUCGUGGAAACUUUACGCCUUCUAUAUAUGGAGACGUUCGUGUGGUCUUAAACCCCGACGUCAAACCGUUGGUCGUAAAACCUCGCAUAACCUAAUCCUAAGGUCGAAGUGUUGCUCUUCGCACCCCACGCCUCGAUGCGUACAGUGGUCGGAGCUUCACUACUCCCUCGACCUCCACAGCAUACCGCACACUAGCUUUCAAGCUCUGUGCGAUCCUAGCCGCUCUGCUGCCACUCAUGGCAAUGGAGCUUUAUUUGCCAUCUUUUUCAUAUUCGUACACAGUACAACAAAUUCUAGCGGCAUCCAAGGAGUUGACAUGGACCCAGAUGGCUACGCUGAACCAGCGGAAAAUCUUAAGGCACAAGGCAAGACAUAA